Molecule: ribosomal RNA, 405 nt
Filed under: uncultured bacterium
Lineage: Bacteria
Description: bacterial SSU rRNA
Rfam family: Bacterial small subunit ribosomal RNA
Source: RNAcentral
UGGGGAAUAUUGCGCAAUGGGGGAAACCCUGACGCAGCAACGCCGCGUGAAGGAUGAAGGUUUUCGGAUUGUAAACUUCUUUGACGAGGGACGAAACAUGACGGUACCUCGAAAACAAGCCACGGCUAACUACGUGCCAGCAGCCGCGGUAAUACGUAGGUGGCGAGCGUUGUCCGGAAUUACUGGGUGUAAAGGGCGAGUAGGCGGGACGGCAAGUCAGGUGUGAAAUUUAUGGGCUUAACCCAUAAACUGCAUUUGAAACUGCUGUUCUUGAGUGAUGGAGAGGCAGGCGGAAUUCCUAGUGUAGCGGUGAAAUGCGUAGAUAUUAGGAGGAACACCAGUGGCGAAGGCGGCCUGCUGGACAUUAACUGACGCUGAGGCGCGAAAGCGUGGGGAGCAAACAGG